Diachasma alloeum is the source of this 1189-nucleotide long non-coding RNA. RefSeq lists it as uncharacterized. NCBI's taxonomy places the organism in Eukaryota, Metazoa, Arthropoda, Insecta, Hymenoptera, Braconidae. The transcript has 2 exons. The record is from RefSeq and is a predicted model, not a curated record.
UUUGGAAAAUCUGUAAAUACAGCUUGAUAGUUUCGGCACAAAACGCGAUAUUUAUUAAUUUCUCACGAAUUACCGGGAAUUUAAAAAAAUUCAAGUUGAUAGUCUGGUGACUGAUACAGUGCAUGAGUGGUGGGUAGUAUGUGCGAACGCUAGGAUUGCUGGAUGAUUCAUAAGGAUUUAACCUGAAAAUGUCCACACCUACGAACGCUUCAAAAGACAUAAAGUCAAGAUCUCAAUAUUCAGACGAGAUUUUGAAAAAAGCUCUGGAGGCUGUUCAGGCUGGCAGAACGUUGAGCUCAGUGAGCAAAGAGUUCUGUAUUCCCAAAUCAACUCUACAUGAUAAAAUAAUUGGCAAAACAACACCUGAAGUCAUCAAAUCAGUUCCUGGGUGUGUCCUGGGAAAAUUGUAUCAGAAAAAGCUUGUGCAAUGGAUCUUAUACAUGGCCGAUGCUGAAUUCCCUAUCACCAAGGAGCAACUAUUUAAUUCUGUCCAAAAAGUAGUGAAAUCUUUGGGCAAAAAGAGUGCUUUUAUUAAUGGUCGCCCUAGUAAACAUUGGUACAAGUUUUUCAAACGACGUAACCCUGAAAUACGUGAGUGUCGGAGAACAUUAUGUGCACUAGAGCUGACAUCACUGAAGAAAUAAUGCGCCAGUAGUUUGAUCAUACGAGGAAAUAUUUAACUUCGAAAAAUCUACUGGAUAUUGAUGGCUCCAGGCUUUUUAAUUACAAUGAGUCAGGAUUUAAUUUGUGUCCAAAGGGUAAAAAGUGCUAAUGAAACGAGGAGAUCAUUAUGCAUAUAAUAAGGUGAAGAAUCAUGAGGAGGAGUGCCUCACGAUCUUGUUUUGUGGGAAUGCUGUUGGCCAGUGCGUAUCAUAGAUGAUUAUGUACAGGUACCUUAGGAUACCUGCUGUUGUCGCAUCUCUCCCACCUAAAGAAUACACCAUUGGUCGUUCAGACACAGGGUGGAUGACCCCGACCUCAUUUCUCGAAAGAGAACUGAUAGAUGAUAAAAGUGUUGCGUCAAGAUAUCAACAGCCCUCCAGCCAAAAUUGCUUCUAGAGGAGGAUAAGAUGGAAUCGCAAUUAUUUCUUAUUUGUACCUGAUUAUUGGUUAAUAGUCAUUUUUUAUUUUUAAACAGUUUAUCGUUGAUGGGAAAAUAAUAAAAUUAUCUUAAAUAUGUUAUGCAUAA